GAUGAACGCUGGCGGCGUGCCUAAUACAUGCAAGUCGAGCGAAUGGAUUAAGAGCUUGCUCUUAUGAAGUUAGCGGCGGACGGGUGAGUAACACGUGGGUAACCUGCCCAUAAGACUGGGAUAACUCCGGGAAACCGGGGCUAAUACCGGAUAACAUUUUGAACCGCAUGGUUCGAAAUUGAAAGGCGGCUUCGGCUGUCACUUAUGGAUGGACCCGCGUCGCAUUAGCUAGUUGGUGAGGUAACGGCUCACCAAGGCAACGAUGCGUAGCCGACCUGAGAGGGUGAUCGGCCACGCUGGUACUGAGACACGGCCCAGACUCCUACGGGAGGCAGCAGUAGGGAAUCUUCCGCAAUGGACGAAAGUCUGACGGAGCAACGCCGCGUGAGUGAUGAAGGCUAUCGGGUCGUAAAACUCUGUUGUUAGGGAAGAACAAGUGCUAGUUGAAUAAGCUGGCACCUUGACGGUACCUAACCAGAAAGCCACGGCUAACUACGUGCCAGCCGCCGCCGUAA
This 515-nucleotide ribosomal RNA is filed under the name uncultured bacterium. Its description in RNAcentral is "partial 16S ribosomal RNA". It matches the Rfam family "Bacterial small subunit ribosomal RNA", at positions 28 to 523 of the family's 1533-position model. The record is from RNAcentral.